Molecule: long non-coding RNA, 292 nt
Filed under: Bos taurus (domestic cattle)
Lineage: Eukaryota; Metazoa; Chordata; Mammalia; Artiodactyla; Bovidae
Description: long non-coding RNA NONBTAT011053
Source: RNAcentral
CUUCUACUUUUUCAUAUGGAAAUCUUGGUACAUUAGAAAGAAUUCCUGACAAUUUAUAAUACAAUUUUCACGAAUGUAGGAAAAAUCUACCCUAGAUCUUAAACUAUAUUAAGUGAGAUAUGUUCUUACACUUUGAAAAAUACAUGCUGUACCAACAUUGUCUUGUAAUUAGGUAACUUGAGGUUCUUAGUAAAAAUUGUGCCGAGGCCCCUGACUUCUGGGAGAGGAUUUAUUGUCAUUUUGAUGAGAAAGCUGAAGUUAUUUUUGUAAGUAAUAAAUUAUAAAUACUAUA